GGAAAAAUGUGUUACAUCGGUAA
Molecule: microRNA, 23 nt
Filed under: Parasteatoda tepidariorum (common house spider)
Lineage: Eukaryota; Metazoa; Arthropoda; Arachnida; Araneae; Theridiidae
Description: pte-miR-35p-5p
Gene: pte-miR-35p-5p
Source: miRBase by way of RNAcentral